AGGUCAUUUCAAAGAGAGCUUUUUGGACUUAAACCAGGAACUCUUAAUAGUGUGACUAAAGAUCAGCAGCUGCCCUGUAAAUUUAUUUUUUUCCAAUAAAAUGGUUUGACAAAACAGUGAAAAA
RNAcentral lists this small nucleolar RNA (124 nucleotides) under Erinaceus europaeus (western European hedgehog). Its description in RNAcentral is "Small nucleolar RNA SNORA25 (ENSEEUG00000023805.1)". Lineage: Eukaryota; Metazoa; Chordata; Mammalia; Eulipotyphla; Erinaceidae. The record is from RNAcentral.